GAAAAAAAGAGCUCAUUCAUCAGAAUUUGAUCACAGCCUCAGAUUUUCUUCUGUUGUUAGUGAAAGAAAAGCAGUUCCACUAAAAAAAAAUCAGAGACCGUUCGUUUCUUUCUUCUCAGUUAUCUCUCUCUCUGCGAAGAUUAGGAGAGUGAAAUGAGGGGUAGAAGUUACAGCUACAGUCCUUCACCACCAAGGGGUUAUGGCCGAAGACGGCGUAGCCCCAGCCCUAGGGGCCGCCGUGGAGGUCGUGGUAGAGAUCUUCCUACAAGUCUCUUGGUUCGGAACCUUCGCCUUGACUGCAGGCCAGAAGAUCUACGAGGACCAUUUGGGCAGUUUGGCCAGCUCAAGGACAUUUACUUGCCCCGAGAUUAUUAUACUGGGUAAGCAAAGCACGUCAUCAUGUAUUGGCUGAUAUGGUUUGUGAAUCUUGCAAACCUUUUGUUUGUGUAUAGUCUUUUUAUUCUGCCAGGUUUAGGCGAACUUUCACUUAUUGAUUUUUGUCCAAUUGUUUGUCUUCAUGCUGUCUCAAUUGAAUGUGAUGAUGGGGUCCACCCUUCUUUUUUUAAAUUAAUUAUAUACAAUCAGUUUAUGGGUAUUUGGCUGUUUUUAUUGAAAGUGUUGAAGACACCAAUGAAGUAAUAAGAGUACUGUGUUGAAGACAACAAUGAAGUAAUAAGAGGUGUUGAAGACACCAAUCAAGUAAAUAAGGGGUACUGUUGAAGAUGUUCUUAAUGUAGAUGAAGAUUCGAAGGAAGUUGGGUUUGUAUACAUUGAGAAGAAUUUCAGGUCUUGAAGAAUUUCAUCUCAAUUUUAACUUUUUCUCCCACAAGGGAGCCUCGUGGCUUUGGGUUUGUGCAGUAUGUAGACCCGGAUGAUGCUGCAGAUGCAAAAUAUCAUAUGGAUGGUCAGAUUCUUCUUGGUCGUGAAUUGACAGUUGUAUUUGCUGAGGAGAACAGAAAGAAGCCUGUGGAAAUGAGGGCCAGAGAACGUGUUAGGGGUCGUGUAUAUGACAGGAGGCGGUCUCCACCUCGCUACUCUAGAUCACCACGCUAUGCACGAGCUUACUCUCGUAGUCCAGAUUAUUAUUCCCCUUCCCCUAGACGGAGGCGUUACUCAAGGUCGAUUUCACCUGGAGACAGAAGGUAUAGGGAGCGGUCUUACUCAAGGUCGCCUUAUGUGUCAAGGAGGCGGAGCAGGAGCAGGAGCCGUAGCUGUAGCCAGAGCUUCAGUAGGAGCCGCAGUAGAAGCCAAGAUUACUCUUCUUAAUUAGUUAAUGGUAGUCUAUAAUAGUAUUGUAUUAAAAGCAAAAAUUCUAUAUGUUACAAGUUUGAGUUCAAGUAGCUUUGCUUUGAUGUACUAUCUUUAAUUGAUCUUGGGGGUUACCAGAGAUGGUGCUUUGGUAGACUCCUGCAGACUAGCUAUCAUACUAUUUUGGUAGCGUUUUAAUUGUACUGAUGGUACUUAAAAGUCUCUGUUUUAUUUGGCUAAUCAUGGUACUCGGGUCUUUAUUCAUUUA
Molecule: RNA transcript, 1516 nt
Organism: Quercus lobata
Lineage: Eukaryota; Viridiplantae; Streptophyta; Magnoliopsida; Fagales; Fagaceae
Gene name: serine/arginine-rich SC35-like splicing factor SCL33
Exons: 6
Source: RefSeq, a predicted model, not a curated record